GUCUCCUUGGCUCAGUUGGUUAAAGCGUUGGUCUCAUAAUAUUGAGUGGGUACUACCCACCGAUCCAAGGUAUCCAAAGGUCGGGAGUUCGACUCUCCCAGGGGACA
Hydnum rufescens UP504 is the source of this 107-nucleotide non-coding RNA. NCBI's taxonomy places the organism in Eukaryota, Fungi, Basidiomycota, Agaricomycetes, Cantharellales, Hydnaceae. The record is from the annotation of a GenBank genome assembly.